RNAcentral lists this ribosomal RNA (349 nucleotides) under uncultured bacterium. RNAcentral's name for it is "partial 16S ribosomal RNA". It matches the Rfam family "Bacterial small subunit ribosomal RNA", at positions 338 to 684 of the family's 1533-position model. The record is from RNAcentral.
CCUACGGGGGGCAGCAGUGAGGAAUAUUGGUCAAUGGGCGCGAGCCUGAACCAGCCAAGUAGCGUGAAGGAUGACUGCCCUACGGGUUGUAAACUUCUUUUAUAAAGGAAUAAAGUGAGGCACGUGAGCCUUUUUGUAUGUACUUUAUGAAUAAGGAUCGGCCAACUCCGUGCCAGCAGCCGCGGUAAUACGGAGGAUCCGAGCGUUAGCCGGAUUUAUUGGGUUUAAAGGGAGCGUAGAUGGGUUUUUAAGUCAGUUGGGAAAUGUUGCGGCUCAACCGUAAAAUUGCAAUUGAUACUGGCAGUAUGGAUUACAGGUGAGGUAGGAGGAAUGCGUGUUGUGGGGGUAA